CUCACCCAGAGAGGAUGUGCCUCACCCAGUGCCUGGCACAUAGUAAGCACUGACUAGUCUGUUGAAAAUGAACGAGCGAGUGAAUGAGUGGAUGGAGA
This is a long non-coding RNA of Lontra canadensis (Northern American river otter), 98 nucleotides long. RefSeq lists it as uncharacterized. Lineage: Eukaryota; Metazoa; Chordata; Mammalia; Carnivora; Mustelidae. The record is from RefSeq and is a predicted model, not a curated record. The transcript is spliced from 3 exons.